GACGAACGCUGGCGGCGUGCUUAACACAUGCAAGUCGAACGGAAAGGCCCCUUUGGGGGUCCUCGAGUGGCGAACGGGUGAGUAACACGUGAGUAACCUGCCCUUGACUUCGGGAUAACUUCAGGAAACUGGGGCUAAUACCGGAUAGGAAUCCUUGCUGCAUGGUGGGGGUUGGAAAGCUUCGGCGGUUUUGGAUGGACUCGCGGCUUAUCAGCUUGUUGGUGGGGUAGUGGCUUACCAAGGCUUUGACGGGUAGCCGGCCUGAGAGGGCGACCGGCCACAUUGGGACUGAGAUACGGCCCAGACUCCUACGGGAGGCAGCAGUGGGGAAUAUUGCACAAUGGGCGGAAGCCUGAUGCAGCAACGCCGCGUGCGGGAUGACGGCCUUCGGGUUGUAAACCGCUUUCAGCAGGGGCGAAGCUUGUGGUGACGGUACCGGCAGAAGAAGCACCGGCUAACUACGU
Molecule: ribosomal RNA, 464 nt
Filed under: uncultured bacterium
Lineage: Bacteria
Description: partial 16S ribosomal RNA
Rfam family: Bacterial small subunit ribosomal RNA
Source: RNAcentral